UUGACAUCCAGAGAAUUUAGCAGAGAUGCUUUAGUGCCUUCGGGAACUCUGAGACAGGUGCUGCAUGGCUGUCGUCAGCUCGUGUUGUGAAAUGUUGGGUUAAGUCCGCAACGAGCGCAACCCUUAUCCUUUGUUGCCAGCACGUAAUGGUGGGAACUCAAAGGAGACUGCCGGUGAUAAACCGGAGGAAGGUGGGGAUGACGUCAAGUCAUCAUGGCCCUUACGAGUAGGGCUACACACGUGCUACAAUGGCGCAUACAAAGAGAAGCGACCUCGCGGGAGCAAGCGGACCUCAUAAAGUGCGUCGUAGUCCGGAUUGGAGUCUGCAACUCGACUCCAUGAAGUCGGAAUCGCUAGUAAUCGUAAAUCAGAAUGUUACGGUGAAUACGUUCCCGGGCCUUGUACACACCGCCCGUCACACCAUGGGAGUGGGUUGCAAAAGAAGUAGAUAGCUUAACCUUCGGGAGGGCGUUUACCACUUUGUGAUUCAUGACUGGGGUGAAGUCGUAACAAGGUAAGCGUAGUGCU
RNAcentral lists this ribosomal RNA (528 nucleotides) under uncultured bacterium. RNAcentral describes it as "bacterial SSU rRNA". It matches the Rfam family "Bacterial small subunit ribosomal RNA", at positions 981 to 1509 of the family's 1533-position model. The record is from RNAcentral.